GUCGAGAAUCUUUCACAAUGGGGGCAACCCUGAUGGAGCGACGCCGCGUGGAGGAUAAGGUCUUCGGAUUGUAAACUCCUGUCAUGCGUGAACAAGGUUGCUUGGAUAAUACCUGAGCAAAUUGAUGGUAGCGCAAGAGGAAGAGACGGCUAACUCUGUGCCAGCAGCCGCGGUAAUACAGAGGUCUCAAGCGUUGUUCGGAAUCACUGGGCGUAAAGGGUGCGUAGGUGGCGUGGCAAGUCAGAUGUGAAAGCCCGGGGCUCAACCUCGGAACUGCAUCCGAUACUGCCAUGCUAGAGUACUGGAGGGGUGACUAGAAUUCUCGGUGUAGCAGUGAAAUGCGUAGAUAUCGAGAGGAAUACCAAAGGCGUAGGCAGGUCACUGGACAGUUACUGACACUGAGGCACGAAGGCCAGGGGAGCGAACGGGAUUAGAUACCCCAGUAGUCC
Molecule: ribosomal RNA, 449 nt
Filed under: uncultured bacterium
Lineage: Bacteria
Description: partial 16S ribosomal RNA
Rfam family: Bacterial small subunit ribosomal RNA
Source: RNAcentral